This 287-nucleotide long non-coding RNA is filed under the name Heterocephalus glaber (naked mole-rat). Its description in RNAcentral is "lncRNA (ENSHGLG00100052533.1)". The record is from RNAcentral. Lineage: Eukaryota; Metazoa; Chordata; Mammalia; Rodentia; Bathyergidae.
CUCUGCUGUAGGGGGUUCAGAGCAGUCACCAGGGAGAUCCGCCAGGGGUCGCUGGGCUUUAUUUCCUAGUUGGUGGGUGGUGGUGGAAGAAUCCUUCUGCCUUAUGAGGUUUCCAGCUCUCCCAGAACAGAGCAGAGCAGAGCAGUCUUUCGUCCAGCUCCGCAUGCCCAGCCCCAGCCGGGCACGUGGAUCAAAUGAAUAAACGAAGAGCCACUCGCAUGUGACAGUGAGCUUGGAGCAAAGAGGAAAACCAUUCCUGCGUGAAGCCAGUGACGUGUGAGGAUUGG